RNAcentral lists this ribosomal RNA (253 nucleotides) under uncultured bacterium. RNAcentral's name for it is "partial 16S ribosomal RNA". It matches the Rfam family "Bacterial small subunit ribosomal RNA", at positions 524 to 776 of the family's 1533-position model. The record is from RNAcentral.
GACGGAGGAUGCAAGCGUUAUCCGGAAUUAUUGGGCGUAAAGCGUCCGUAGGCGGUUUCAAAAGUCUGUUGUUAAAGCCCACAGCUCAACUGUGGAUCGGCAAUGGAAACUGUGAGACUAGAGAGUGGUAGGGGUAGAGGGAAUUCCUAGUGUAGCGGUGAAAUGCGUAGAUAUGUGGAGGAAUACCGAUGGCGAAGGCAGCCCCCUGGGUCGAUACUGACGCUCAUGCACGAAAGCGUGGGGAGCAAACAGG